CACGGGGGGAGCAAGCGUUGUUCGGAAUCACUGGGCGUAAAGGGCGUGCAGGCGGUCAGGUAAGUGGGAUGUGAAAUGCCCCGGCUCACCCGGGGACCGGCAUCUCAUACUGCUUGGCUUGAGUACGGGAGAGGAUGUGGGAAUUCCUGGUGUAGCGGUGAAAUGCGUAGAGAUCAAGAGGAACACUCGUGGCGAAAGCGAGCUACUGGACAAUUCCUGACGCUGAGGCUCGAAGGCUAGGGUAGCGAAAGGG
RNAcentral lists this ribosomal RNA (253 nucleotides) under uncultured bacterium. Its description in RNAcentral is "partial 16S ribosomal RNA". It matches the Rfam family "Bacterial small subunit ribosomal RNA", at positions 524 to 776 of the family's 1533-position model. The record is from RNAcentral.